RNAcentral lists this ribosomal RNA (379 nucleotides) under uncultured eukaryote. RNAcentral's name for it is "partial 18S ribosomal RNA". It matches the Rfam family "Eukaryotic small subunit ribosomal RNA", at positions 592 to 976 of the family's 1831-position model. The record is from RNAcentral.
CAAUAGCGUAUAUUUAAGUUGUUGCAGUUAAAAAGCUCGUAGUUGGAUUUCGGAUGGGAUCUGCCAGUCCGUCUUUGAGAUGUGUACUGGUAGGUCCUAUCUUGUUGUCGGGGACCAGCUCCUGGGCUUCACUGUCCGGGACUGGGAGCCGACGAAGUUACUUUGAGUAAAUUAGAGUGUUCAAAGCAGGCCUACGCUCUGAAUACAUUAGCAUGGAAUAACACGAUAGGACUCUGGCCUAUCUUGUUGGUCUGUAGGACCGGAGUAAUGAUUAAGAGGGACAGUCGGGGGCAUUCGUAUUUCAUUGUCAGAGGUGAAAUUCUUGGAUUUAUGAAAGACGAACUACUGCGAAAGCAUUUGCCAAGGAUGUUUUCAUUAA